ACGAGUUAUCUGAACCUUCGGGGAACGAUAACGGCGUCGAGCGGCGGACGGGUGAGUAAUGCCUAGGAAAUUGCCCUGAUGUGGGGGAUAACCAUUGGAAACGAUGGCUAAUACCGCAUGAUGCCUACGGGCCAAAGAGGGGGACCUUCGGGCCUCUCGCGUCAGGAUAUGCCUAGGUGGGAUUAGCUAGUUGGUGAGGUAAGGGCUCACCAAGGCGACGAUCCCUAGCUGGUCUGAGAGGAUGAUCAGCCACACUGGAACUGAGACACGGUCCAGACUCCUACGGGAGGCAGCAGUGGGGAAUAUUGCACAAUGGGCGCAAGCCUGAUGCAGCCAUGCCGCGUGUGUGAAGAAGGCCUUCGGGUUGUAAAGCACUUUCAGUCGUGAGGAAGGUAGUGUAGUUAAUAGCUGCAUUAUUUGACGUUAGCGACAGAAGAAGCACCGGCUAACUCCGUGCCAGCAGCCGCGGUAAUACGGAGGGUGCGAGCGUUAAUCGGAAUUACUGGGCGUAAAGCGCAUGCAGGUGGUUUGUUAAGUCAGAUGUGAAAGCCCGGGGCUCAACCUCGGAAUUGCAUUUGAAACUGGCAGACUAGAGUACUGUAGAGGGGGGUAGAAUUUCAGGUGUAGCGGUGAAAUGCGUAGAGAUCUGAAGGAAUACCGGUGGCGAAGGCGGCCCCCUGGACAGAUACUGACACUCAGAUGCGAAAGCGUGGGGAGCAAACAGGAUUAGAUACCCUGGUAGUCCACGCCGUAAACGAUGUCUACUUGGAGGUUGUGGCCUUGAGCCGUGGCUUUCGGAGCUAACGCGUUAAGUAGACCGCCUGGGGAGUACGGUCGCAAGAUUAAAACUCAAAUGAAUUGACGGGGGCCCGCACAAGCGGUGGAGCAUGUGGUUUAAUUCGAUGCAACGCGAAGAACCUUACCUACUCUUGACAUCCAGAGAACUUUCCAGAGAUGGAUUGGUGCCUUCGGGAACUCUGAGACAGGUGCUGCAUGGCUGUCGUCAGCUCGUGUUGUGAAAUGUUGGGUUAAGUCCCGCAACGAGCGCAACCCUUAUCCUUGUUUGCCAGCGAGUAAUGUCGGGAACUCCAGGGAGACUGCCGGUGAUAAACCGGAGGAAGGUGGGGACGACGUCAAGUCAUCAUGGCCCUUACGAGUAGGGCUACACACGUGCUACAAUGGCGCAUACAGAGGGCAGCCAACUUGCGAAAGUGAGCGAAUCCCAAAAAGUGCGUCGUAGUCCGGAUUGGAGUCUGCAACUCGACUCCAUGAAGUCGGAAUCGCUAGUAAUC
Molecule: ribosomal RNA, 1292 nt
Filed under: Vibrio parahaemolyticus
Lineage: Bacteria; Pseudomonadati; Pseudomonadota; Gammaproteobacteria; Vibrionales; Vibrionaceae
Description: bacterial SSU rRNA
Rfam family: Bacterial small subunit ribosomal RNA
Source: RNAcentral